RNAcentral lists this ribosomal RNA (500 nucleotides) under uncultured bacterium. Its description in RNAcentral is "partial 16S ribosomal RNA". It matches the Rfam family "Bacterial small subunit ribosomal RNA", at positions 30 to 523 of the family's 1533-position model. The record is from RNAcentral.
AUUGAACGCUGGCGGCAGGCCUAACACAUGCAAGUCGAGCGGUAGAGAGAAGCUUGCUUCUCUUGAGAGCGGCGGACGGGUGAGUAAUGCCUAGGAAUCUGCCUAGUGGUGGGGGAUAACGUUCGGAAACGGACGCUAAUACCGCAUACGUCCUACGGGAGAAAGCGGGGGAUCUUCGGACCUCGCGCCAUUAGAUGAGCCUAGGUCGGAUUAGCUAGUUGGUGAGGUAAUGGCUCACCAAGGCGACGAUCCGUAACUGGUCUGAGAGGAUGAUCAGUCACACUGGAACUGAGACACGGUCCAGACUCCUACGGGAGGCAGCAGUGGGGAAUAUUGGACAAUGGGCGAAAGCCUGAUCCAGCCAUGCCGCGUGUGUGAAGAAGGUCUUCGGAUUGUAAAGCACUUUAAGUUGGGAGGAAGGGUAGUAACCUAAUACGUUGCUACUUUGACGUUACCGACAGAAUAAGCACCGGCUAACUUCGUGCCAGCAGCCGCCGUAA